RNAcentral lists this long non-coding RNA (249 nucleotides) under Hordeum vulgare. RNAcentral's name for it is "long non-coding RNA (HVUL_LNC004407)". The record is from RNAcentral. Lineage: Eukaryota; Viridiplantae; Streptophyta; Magnoliopsida; Poales; Poaceae.
AGCAUCCCUGACCCUCUUGGUGCUCCGAGCACUCGGGACCAUCGGGGCAGUGGGCGGAGCACUCGAAGAUGCUGGAGGGGCCGAGGGAACGGCAGGCUCGUGUCGGCGCUUGGUCCGAUGCUCUAUUUGCGGAGGCGGCGAGUCCUGCUCUUCGUCUUCCUCCUCUUCCUCGCUAGUCUCUUCCUCCGACUCCCCGCUGUCGGAGACAUAUUCAGCGCUCUCCACGCUGCCUUCCUGGCUGCCUUCCUC